This 6285-nucleotide long non-coding RNA is filed under the name Physcomitrium patens. RNAcentral describes it as "long non-coding RNA (PPAT_LNC003302)". Lineage: Eukaryota; Viridiplantae; Streptophyta; Bryopsida; Funariales; Funariaceae. The record is from RNAcentral.
ACAGGGAUAGAUAACUGCUGAAAAGGUGGUUCAGUAGGUAGAAUGGAUGAAUAGUCAAGAAAAGUAGUUAUCAUCUGUAGUAUAGGAGUUGGUAUCUCGGAGUAGUAUAAGGAGGAUGGGAGAGGGGAAGAAAAUGCCAGACUGUGAGAAUUGUGAGCCGGGAUAAGCUUCGUGCUACGUCUUUUCUUUUAUUUGUUAUUUUCUUUGAAUAAGAGGAUUGAGAGUUUUUGAAUAUUGUGAAGUGAAUUAUGGAAUGGAAAUGUGAUUGGUAUUAUUUGAGAAGAAGAAAGAUUGAAUGCUGAAAUCUGAUUGUAAUUCAGCAAAGAGAAUGAGUCUGUGUUUGUGUGAAACAUUGUAACGUGAAUGGCAAUUCUGUGUAAAGAAUUCCAGUGAUUGGAACGAGGGUAAUUGUGUGUUGAAAGCUGUGAGGGCGCAGUAUUACAGUUGGAGAUUAUGAGGGUGAAUAUAUUGGUGGAAAUAGCAGUUAUUGGUAUGACUGAAUUGCUGUAAGGAAGAGACCGAUAAGAUGAAGGAGGAGAUUAUAGUUUCCUUGUCUGUUCAGAUAUUGAAAAUAGAGAUGAUACAUUCAAGAGGUAAUUGAUUAUGUGACCCUAACAUGAACACUUAAGCAACUAGUCAUUCUCUGUGUUCGAAUCUCCCUAUAUGGAUUUAUGCUGGGAGGUUUCUUUUGGAAUAAGUAAAACGAGCAAUCACAUUUUGGCGCCGCUGUCGGGGAGUGAUAAUAGCUUUGAGUGUUAGGAAUUAAUUACCAAAUGUGUGAGAAAAUUGGCAAUGGAAGACGUUUUCAAUAGUAUUUGAAAAAAGAGUAUGGUUAUUAACAAUGAGAAUUUAACAGCAAAGAGAAUAAAGCAAUCAAAGAAAAGAACAGAGCGAUCACAAGCAAGAAAUUUGUUACGUAAUGAGCGAGAUCGCAAAUUAAAAAAGAAGCAUCGAUAAAGUUGGAUUAAGCCGUGGUUGCAUGCCUAUCGGCAUAUUCGAUCGUACCCAGAAGACAAUCGACCUCUAAUAUUUCAGAAAUACAUACCGUUAAAGAAAUUACCAAGAGCACUCGCAGGGAGCACUGCUAAUAGUCCAGCAAACCUCUCGAAGCCGUUAACGGAAAAUGAAGAAGGCACAGAGGAAUUAGGUACUCCACUGGGUAUCUUCUCAAUUAGAAAUACGUCCAAUCCUAACAAGAUUGGUUCUCAAGAUCAGCAUAAAUCACUUGCCAAUAAAGACCAAUUCAGAGUAUAUCAAAACCUGUCAUUUUUACCUCAUAUUCAACUAGUAAAAUUAUUUGGGAAUAAUGAUAGUCAAUCGAAAAAGCUUGGAAGUCCGAAAAAGACUUUUGUGGGAGACAGUUUUAUUUUAAUAAGAAAUUGAACAGAACAUCGGCAUCUUUAAUGAUGUCCGGAGGACCAGCAAUUUUGAUUGGAGUUCAAAUGGGUGCAGUGGGCGAUCAAACGACUAGUGUCGUGCCAUUACCUACUUUUCGGGGUUUGCCAAGUGCAGAUCCAGAUCAACAUUUGUCUCAAUUCUUGACAGCGUGUGUAGCCAAUAAUGGAAGAACAGAAGACAUUUGGCUGAGAUGGCUGCCAGUGACAUUGAAAGACACAACGUUUGAGUGGUGUAACCGCCAACCUGUGGGACAAUUUAUCAAUUGGGAGGUAUUGAAAAAUGCAUUUUUAGCCUAUUUUCGACCAAUUGGUUUUGAAGAACAUCUUAGAGAAAAAUUAAUGAAUAGCAGAAUGGUACCAGGAGAAGCGGUAUAAUCAUAUUAUGGUCGUGUAGCGGAUAUACUUCGAAAAUGGCCAAAUAACCAAAUGUCAGAAUCAUUUGUGUUAUCCAUAUUGGUUAAUAGACUACACCCACCAGAAUUAAAAAUGUUUGUAAAGGAGGUCCAAUCAGCCACCAUUGCAUCAUCUCUUGAGCAAGCAAAAGUAUGGGAAGAAUGUCACUAUGACUAGAACUUAACAGUUAGAGCCACGAUGAUUCCAUCUCAAGGAGAUUAUCAAAUGACAAAUUGGAAUGAUGCAUCGAGAAGUUAUCUGAGAAGGAAUGAUUAUGGUACAAUUUCAAAGGGAAUAGUGGAUGCCGUUCCAUUACAAGCUGUACCACCAUCAUCAUCACACCCGUAUGCACCUUAUUCCGUGUAUCAGAAAUCAAUACCUACAAAGGAAUUGCCAAAUGCAUUGGUAUCAAGGGAUCCCAAUGAGUCAUUGCUGUUAACAUUGACAAAAAAAAUGGAUGAAUUGGGUGUGAAUCUGGCCAAGGAUAAAGAAAAAAGGCAUAAAUCAACCAAUAUGCGUCCCAAUGUCUGGUGCAACAAUUGUAAGGGGCAAGGUCAUUUAGUAACAGAAUGUCCUUCACCACCCCAAAUGACUGUACAAUAUAUCUUUUGCGGGGGUAAGCAUAUUACCACCAACUGUUGGAAUUUACGAAAGCAAUAACAACUCAAUAAUCAUAUAAUGACUCAACCAACUUCGUGGGAUGUCAAUGAAGUACAAAUGAAUAAUAGGUUUGGCUGGAAUGGAAAUCGAGCGAAUAAACAAAACAUGAAUUUCUUCAACUCUGAAUUUCACCAAGAAGGUGUAUCCAAUACUUACGGAUUGGCGAUGAAUCAACAAGGAUACCAUCAAUAUCCACCUAUGAUGAAGCCAAUGCCAGACUCUACAGUAACAAUGGGUCAACCAGGAUCCUUUACUUAUCUGACAUGGAACAGACCUAGCCAUUAUAUACUAGUAGAGACACCCAUUAUCCCUGAAGGAGUUGGCAGGAGAUCACUUUGUUGCUAUCGUUGCAGACAAAUCAGACAUUAUGCCAAUGAAUGUCCUAAUCCAAGGGCUAGUGAUGACUAUGCUCCAAUAUGUAGAAAUUGUAAGCAGUAUGGUCACACUUAUCAGUAGUGCAAUGUGUCCUUUAAUUAUAAUAAUCGGGACCAGCAAAUACAAAUAAGCCAACCAACGGAGGACAAAGGCCCUAUUCAACGAGACUCACCAAUACAUCGUGUCGAGGUAGUGAACGUAGUGCUUACUAGAGGCCAACAAAAAGACAAGAAUCCAAUUCAAGAUAUGGAUGAACCAAUCGCAAGAGAGUAAGUAGCAUCAUCCAUGGGGCUAAACGAACCAAUAUCAAUAUUAGAACGUAUCCCAAUAUUGAGACCUCAACAGAGUGAGGAACCCAAUUCAGUUCCACAUGUCAAUUUAUCAGGACAAUCCAAUCCAGGUUCUAUUAUGGGCUUCGUACACAGUAUGAGACUUGAAUCGGUGAUACAAUCCAUUGAAGUCCUAAUUACGCAGGCUUCAGUUCCGUUCCAAGUAGCUUCGAUCUCUACGCAGUUUCGAGAAACAUCCUAUCUAUUGAAAGAUCCUCUUGGGGGUAGAAAUUCCAAAGAAAGCCAGGCUACUGUUUCAAUUCCGAGUCCAGGGCGGAAGAAUUUCUUACCUCACGGAGUUAAACUCAAAUCAAUGAAAAGAAAGAGGGCAUUGAAAAUUAUCCAAAAUAUGGAAUCCUAUGAUAUUUUGAAGGAUCUGGAUGCUAUUCGGCCUUCUAUUUCUAUGAAGCAACUUCUAACGGUCGCACUAGAGUGUCGUUCUACAUUGAAUUCAUCAUUAAUACGGCAUAAGUACCGUAAUAAAGAAGUUUGUGAAGUCAGUUUGAACCUUGACCCAGGUGCACCAACCAUCAAUGUUUCAAUUGACGGUGUUAUGAUCUCAGGUAUUCAAGAAGAUGGUGGUUCUAGCAUCAAUUUAAUGAAUGUGGAUACAAUGGAGGACUUGGAUCUAAAGCAAUUGCUACCUAUGACAUUGGUCUUGCGAAUGGCAGAUCAUAGUCGGGUAAAGCCAAUGAGAAUCUUACGCAAUAUUGCCACUGUAAUCGUGGGAUUGACAUACAAAAUCGAUUAUAUUGUAUUCCGAUUACAGAGUUCUACAUUAUCGUAUCUCAUUUUAUUGGACAGACCUUGGCUUUAUCAAGCCAAAGCUAAGAACAAUUGGGGCUAAGGCACAUUGACAAUUGAAAAAGGCCGGGAUCACAUUGUUCUACAGAUGUACUCGGUACAAUAUCAUGGAGAGUUUCAAUUGCUAGCAUCUGAAUUAACGUCAGACGAUGAGCUUAGCUCCGAUGACGAUGCAGUAGCACCAAUUAUGGAGGCGCCCGUGGAGGCAGCACUACACCCUAGAGUGGUGUACCAAUAUGGAGAUCCGAAGGAGUACUUGAUAUAUCCGACGGACUCAGAAAACUCGGAUUAUGUUAAUACUGAUUGGAUGAUCAAGUAUGAUGUAUACCAUGUUACUGCCCUGGACACAGGAUUGAGUACUUUGUACAUGUUGAACUUAUUGAUUGACUUUAAACCAGCGCGGGGGUUGAAACAAAACAUCGUCAUUGCACCUUUAUGUCAAACUAUCAACUUGGCGACCAUAGCAGAACCUUGAAUAAUUAAGGUCUACGAAGGUAUUAAGGAACAAGAAUUGACUUGCUGGACCGAAUUUUUCUUGUAUCAUAUAUCCACUUUUACUUGAACUUAUGAUAAUUUAAAAGGUAUUCCCAUUGAAGUCUGUGAGCAUCGUAUCAUUUUAGAGGAGAACGCUAAACCGGUAUGGCAGAGGCAACAUCGCCUUAAUCCUAAAUAUUUCCUCAUAGUAAAGGAGGAAUUCGACAAACUUCUUGCAGUUGGUUUUAUUUACCCGAUACCAAAUAGUGAGUGGGUUUCUCCAAUCGUGAUGGUGCCGAAAAAGAAUGGAAAUUGUGAGAUUUUUUGAAAACUUAAUGCGGCCACUAAGAAAGAUUACUUCUCAUUACCUUUCAUGGAUAGUAUGGAUAACAUAUUGUCAUUAUCACCACUAGGUAAAAGAAUAGGAGUGGGGCACCAGUUAAAGUCAUUAUGUGGUGUUGUUUUGGGUUGAUUGGAGUGCCAUUUUUUUGUAUUUCUUGUGUUUUCGAGAGAAGUAGUUCUAGUUAAGAGUUAAUAAUGAGGAGCCAAUCACAAGAAAGAGAGCGCAUGGUGGAGACCCACAAGCAAGAACUAUUCCGAACUCGCAGUAAUUCAAAUUUGGAAUUGGAAAAAGCAAAAGAUCAGUUGGUAAUGGAACGAGAAAAGACCGAGUUAUUAGCGCAAGAGAAAUUGGUAUUGAGUGACCAAUAUAGAUGUGAAAUGGAGAGGUUAAGGGCUAAAAUUGAGGCCUUGAAUGUCGAGGAGACAAGAUUGGCAGAGGAUCUAGUUACUUUUGGUCAAGCACAAGUAUCGAUGUUGCCAAUUUCCGAAGUUCAAGAAGAGAGGAGUCACUUUCAGCACCAGUUGGAAUUGAGAGAUGCCGAGAUCCUAAAAUUGGAAGCUCAAGUCCGUGAACUGUGCGAGUACAAUGAAGACCUUUCAGCUCAGUUGAGGUAGGAGCCGAUGGAAGGAUUGGAGGAGGACGAAGAUUUGUAGUUGGAACCGAAAUCGGUGGAACCAAUAACAGAUACUGUGACAAUUGAUUAAUUAGAUAGGCCAGAGGGAUCGCAAUUUUUGUAGAGUUUUGUUAGAUAAUUUUUAGAUAGGUAUCAAUUGAGUGUUUGCGAGGAUGCUGCACAAUUAGGAGUGGGGCUAUGUAGAAUAAGUAGUUAUUUUCAGAAUAUAGAUACCUAGUGUAAAGUAUAAACAGGAAUAGAUAACUACUGAAAAGGUGGUUCAACAGGUAGAAUGGAUGAAUAGUCAAGAAAAGUAGUUAUCAUCUGUAGUAUAGGAAUUGGUAUCUCGGAGUAGUAUAAGGAGGAUGGGAGAGGGGAAGAAAAUGCCAGACUGUGAGAGUUGUGAGCCGGGGUAAGCUUGGUACUACCUCUUUUCUUUUGUUUGUUAUUUUCUUUGAAUAAGAGGAUUGAAAGUUUUUGAAUAUUGUGAAGUGAAUUAUGGAAUGGAAAUGUGAUUGGUAUUAUUUGAGAAGAAGAAAGAUUGAAUGCUGAAAUCUGAUUGUAAUUCAGCAAAGAGAAUGAGUCUGUGUUUGUGUGAAACAUUGUAAUGUGAAUGGCAGUUCUGUGUAAAGAAUUCCAGUGAUUGGAACGAGGGUAAUUGUGUGCUGAAAGCUGUGAGGGCGCAGUAUUAUAGUUGGAGAUUAUGAGGGUGAAUAUAUUGGUAGGAAUAGCAGUUAUUGGUAUGACUGAAUUGCUGUAAGGAAGAGACCGAUAAGGUGAAGGAUGAGAUUAUAGUUUCUUUGUGUAUUCAGAUAUUGGAAAUAGAGACGAUACAUUUAGGAGGUAAUUGAUUAUGUAACCCUAACAUGAACGCUUAAGCAACUAGUCAUUCCCCAU